This 387-nucleotide ribosomal RNA is filed under the name uncultured bacterium. Its description in RNAcentral is "bacterial SSU rRNA". It matches the Rfam family "Bacterial small subunit ribosomal RNA", at positions 29 to 417 of the family's 1533-position model. The record is from RNAcentral.
AUUGAACGCUGGCGGCAUGCCUUACACAUGCAAGUCGAACGGCAGCACGGGGGCAACCCUGGUGGCGAGUGGCGGACGGGUGAGUAAUGCAUCGGAACGUGCCCUGAAGUGGGGGAUAACGCAGCGAAAGCUACGCUAAUACCGCAUAUUCUGUGAGCAGGAAAGCAGGGGAUCGCAAGACCUUGCGCUUUGGGAGCGGCCGAUGUCGGAUUAGCUAGUUGGUGGGUAAAGGCCUACCAAGGCGACGAUCCGUAGCGGGUCUGAGAGGAUGAUCGCCACACUGGGACUGAGACACGGCCCAGACUCCUACGGGAGGCAGCAGUGGGGAAUUUUGGACAAUGGGCGAAAGGCCUAGAUCCAGCCAUGCCGCGUGAGUGAAGAAGGCCU